This 253-nucleotide ribosomal RNA is filed under the name uncultured bacterium. RNAcentral's name for it is "partial 16S ribosomal RNA". It matches the Rfam family "Bacterial small subunit ribosomal RNA", at positions 524 to 776 of the family's 1533-position model. The record is from RNAcentral.
UACGUAGGGUGCAAGCGUUAAUCGGAAUUACUGGGCGUAAAGCGUGCGCAGGCGGUGAUGUAAGGCAGGUGUGAAAUCCCCGGGCUCAACCUGGGAACUGCAUCUGUGACUGCAUCGCUGGAGUGCGGCAGAGGGGGAUGGAAUUCCGCGUGUAGCAGUGAAAUGCGUAGAUAUGCGGAGGAACACCGAUGGCGAAGGCAAUCCCCUGGGCCUGCACUGACGCUCAUGCACGAAAGCGUGGGGAGCAAACAGG